Molecule: ribosomal RNA, 561 nt
Filed under: uncultured bacterium
Lineage: Bacteria
Description: bacterial SSU rRNA
Rfam family: Bacterial small subunit ribosomal RNA
Source: RNAcentral
CCUACGGGAGGCAGCAGUGGGGAAUCUUGCGCAAUGGGCGAAAGCCUGACGCAGCCAUGCCGCGUGAAUGAUGAAGGUCUUAGGAUUGUAAAAUUCUUUCACCGGGGACGAUAAUGACGGUACCCGGAGAAGAAGCCCCGGCUAACUUCGUGCCAGCAGCCGCGGUAAUACGAAGGGGGCUAGCGUUGCUCGGAAUUACUGGGCGUAAAGGGAGCGUAGGCGGAUAGUUUAGUCAGAGGUGAAAGCCCAGGGCUCAACCUUGGAAUUGCCUUUGAUACUGGCUAUCUUGAGUACGGAAGAGGUAUGUGGAACUCCGAGUGUAGAGGUGAAAUUCGUAGAUAUUCGGAAGAACACCAGUGGCGAAGGCGACAUACUGGUCCGUUACUGACGCUGAGGCUCGAAAGCGUGGGGAGCGAAACAGGAUUAGAUACCCUGGUAGUCCACGCUGUAAACGAUGAGUGCUAGUUGUCGGCAGGCAUGCCUGUCGGUGACGCAGCUAACGCAUUAAGCACUCCGCCUGGGGAGUACGGUCGCAAGAUUAAAACUCAAAGGAAUUGACGG